RNAcentral lists this ribosomal RNA (253 nucleotides) under uncultured bacterium. Its description in RNAcentral is "partial 16S ribosomal RNA". It matches the Rfam family "Bacterial small subunit ribosomal RNA", at positions 524 to 776 of the family's 1533-position model. The record is from RNAcentral.
UACAGAGGGGGCAAGCGUUGUUCGGAAUUAUUGGGCGUAAAGAGCUCGUAGGCGGUCUGUCGCGUCGGCUGUGAAAACCCGAGGCUCAACCUCGGGCCUGCAGUCGAUACGGGCAAACUAGAGUACUGCAGGGGAGACUGGAAUUCCUGGUGUAGCGGUGAAAUGCGCAGAUAUCAGGAGGAACACCGGUGGCGAAGGCGGGUCUCUGGGCAGUAACUGACGCUGAGGAGCGAAAGCGUGGGGAGCGAACAGG